Long non-coding RNA from Cyprinus carpio (common carp), 2413 nucleotides. The record is from Ensembl. NCBI's taxonomy places the organism in Eukaryota, Metazoa, Chordata, Actinopteri, Cypriniformes, Cyprinidae.
CCACGAUGAUCAAUUAUUAAACUCAGUUUAAAGUUGUUUUUGUAUAAACUGCUAAUGCAAUUCCGUUUUUUUAUUUAUUCCAUUAACAUUCAUGCAGUAAUAUCAACAAAUUAAGAAAUUAAAACAAAUUAUGUGCCCUCAAAGAAAUCGCAUUCCGCAAAUUUUCGAUACAUUUAAAACAAUGUCUGACUGAAAUUAAAACAUAAUCAUGCUAUGAUAAUGGCACACGCUUAUUAAUUAAAAUGUGCAACUAUGUGGUUUUUUUUCGAGCUACUUAACAGUUUCUAUAAACAAUCCUGCCUAUAAUAAAUUGUUGCUCACGCCAGACACUUAAGACGUGCACAAAACAAAGGAUUUACAGAGAGAGAGAGAAAAAAAUCGUCACGGUGUUUGACAAAAAGCAUUCCAUUUGCAUUAUCUGUGCAUAUUAGUAAAGUAACAAACCACAAGCCAGGACGUCACUAAGUGGUAUUUAAGAGGCAGCGUCACAGGUGAAUGGAGAGAAGUGGAAGAACUGAAGCAUAGAAUAACUAUCGGACCACUGAGACAGCAGCGGAUUACCGAUCAACGUGUUCAGCAUAAUAUAUCUGCUAAAGGUCUGAUUCUUAUUAUAACCACUGCACUCUUUCCAGAAUGGAGGGAAAAGCUUUUAUUAUAAUGUGCAUUCUCAUUGCAAAAGUCCAAUCCCAAAGUACAACAAUCUCCGUAACAGAUUCAACAUCAUCACUAUCAUCUGUUAGUACAACCAACACCUCCGCAACAUCCACAGCUACAACUUCUUCAACAACCACUACAGCUCCUGCUGAAACAUUCACCACUACUGCAGGAGUUACCACAACAGCACCACAAACUACUGUUACAACAACUGAAUCCUCCACAACAGCCACAACAACAAAUGCACCCUCAACUAUAGUUUGUUCAAAUCCAUGCACAAAACCAACAACUUUAACCCCAACAGGUUCUACCUCUGUCACAACAACUCUUACUGAGUCAUCAACCAUUAGUGCACCAGUCACAUCUGCUCAGUCUACAGCCUCUACAGCAUCUACAGAGCCUACAGCUUCUACAGUGUCAUCCACAUCUGCUCAGUCUGCAGCAUCUACAGCUUCUACAGCAUCAACAGAUUCUACAAUAUCUACAGCAUCUACAGAGCCUACAGCUUCUACAGUGUCAUCCACAUCUGGUCAGUCUACAGCACCUACAGCAUCUACAGAAUCUACAGCUUCUACAAUAUCUACAGCAUCUUCAGAGUCUACAGCUUCUACAGUAUCUACAGCUUCCACAGUCUCAUCCACAUCUUCUCAGUCUACAGCAUCUACAGAUUCUACAGCCUCUACAGCAUCUACAGAGACUACAGCUCCUACAGUAUCUACAGCUUCUACAGUGCCAUCCACAUCUGCUCAGUCUACAGCAUCUACAGAUUCUACAGCAUCAACAGAUUCUACAAUAUCUACAGCAUCUACCGAGUCUACAGCUCCUACAGUAUCUACAGCUUCUACAGCGUCAUCCACAUCUGCUCAGUCUACAGCAUCUACAGCAUCUACAGAGUCUACAGCUCCUACACUAUCUACCGAUUCUACAGUGUCAUCCACUUCUGCUCAGUCUACAGCCUCUACAGCAUCUACAGCGCCUACAGCUCCUACAGUAUCUACAGCUUCUACAGUGUCAUCCACUUCUGCUCAGUCUACAGCAUCUACAGAUUCUACAGUAUCUACAGCUUCUACAAUAUCUACAGCAUCUACAGAGCCUACAGCUCCUACAGUAUCUACAGCUUCUACAGUGUCAUCCACAUCUGCUCAUACUACAGCAUCUACAGAGACCACAGCAUCUACAACAUCUACAACAUCUACAACUUCCACAGCAACUACUGCAAAAAUAGUACCUGAGGUGCUAACAGUUCUGGAGUUUCGCUCUAAUGACACAUUUAUUAUUGCACUCAGCGAUAACAACAGUGAGGAGUUCAAGAGUAGGGCUAAGCUUGUCAAAGAUCAGAUUGAGCCCAUCUACAAAAUCAAGUAUGAUAACUUCCUCAGAGUGAUUGUCCUAGGAUUCAGUGAAGGGUCAAUCAUCACAUCAACACGACUAGCUUUCAGCUUAAAUCAAGCUAUCCCAUCUGUUGGAGAGAUUUCGAACACCCUCUUGACAGCAGUGGGAAACGGAGGUGUCAAUCUAUUGAACAUAAUUCCUCAAUCAAUUUCAGUCAAUGGUUCAGCUUCAGCUACCACUGUCACUCCUGCAGCAACCACAGCAACUACAGCUUCAGGUGGAUUAAAGAUUGAAUCCAGUCUGCUCCAAGCAACAUGCCUCGUCAUUAUGUCUAAAAUAUUAAAGCUUUUCCUAUAGAUCCCUUAAACAUAUAUCAAUCAAAUAUGAGAGUUCAGUAAUAAAUGCUAUAACAAAUAAUUAAAUGACA